RNAcentral lists this ribosomal RNA (497 nucleotides) under uncultured bacterium. RNAcentral describes it as "partial 16S ribosomal RNA". It matches the Rfam family "Bacterial small subunit ribosomal RNA", at positions 28 to 507 of the family's 1533-position model. The record is from RNAcentral.
GAUGAACGCUGGCGGCGUGCCUAAUACAUGCAAGUCGAGCGAACGGACGAGAAGCUUGCUUCUCUGAUGUUAGCGGCGGACGGGUGAGUAACACGUGGAUAACCUACCUAUAAGACUGGGAUAACUUCGGGAAACCGGAGCUAAUACCGGAUGAUAUUUUGAACCGCAUGGUUCAAAAGUGAAAGACGGUCUUGCUGUCACUUAUAGAUGGAUCCGCGCUGCAUUAGCUAGUUGGUAAGGUAACGGCUUACCAAGGCAACGAUGCAUAGCCGACCUGAGAGGGUGAUCGGCCACACUGGAACUGAGACACGGUCCAGACUCCUACGGGAGGCAGCAGUAGGGAAUCUUCCGCAAUGGGCGCAAGCCUGACGGAGCAACGCCGCGUGAGUGAUGAAGGUCUUCGGAUCGUAAACCUCUGUUAUUAGGGAAGAACAUAUGUGUAAGUAACUGUGCACAUCUUGACGGUACCUAAUCAGAAAGCCACGGCUAACUACGUG